This 1472-nucleotide ribosomal RNA is filed under the name Kalymmatonema hyalinum ACT695. RNAcentral's name for it is "bacterial SSU rRNA". It matches the Rfam family "Bacterial small subunit ribosomal RNA". Lineage: Bacteria; Bacillati; Cyanobacteriota; Cyanophyceae; Nostocales; Scytonemataceae. The record is from RNAcentral.
AGAGUUUGAUCCUGGCUCAGGAUGAACGCUGGCGGUAUGCUUAACACAUGCAAGUCGAACGGGCUCUUCGGAGCUAGUGGCGGACGGGUGAGUAACGCGUGAGAAUCUGGCUUCAGGUUCGGGACAACAGUUGGAAACGGCUGCUAAUACCGGAUGUGCCUUAGGGUGAAAGAUUUAUCACCUGAAGAUGAGCUCGCGUCUGAUUAGCUAGUAGGUGUGGUAAGAGCGCACCUAGGCGACGAUCAGUAGCUGGUCUGAGAGGAUGAUCAGCCACACUGGGACUGAGACACGGCCCAGACUCCUACGGGAGGCAGCAGUGGGGAAUUUUCCGCAAUGGGCGAAAGCCUGACGGAGCAAUACCGCGUGAGGGAGGAAGGCUCUUGGGUUGUAAACCUCUUUUCUCAGGGAAGAAUAAUGACGGUACCUGAGGAAUAAGCAUCGGCUAACUCCGUGCCAGCAGCCGCGGUAAUACGGAGGAUGCAAGCGUUAUCCGGAAUGAUUGGGCGUAAAGCGUCCGCAGGUGGCAGUGUAAGUCUGCUGUCAAAGCGUCUGGCUCAACCAGAUAAAGGCAGUGGAAACUACAUAGCUAGAGUAAGGUAGGGGUAGAGGGAAUUCCUGGUGUAGCGGUGAAAUGCGUAGAGCUCAGGAAGAACACCGGUGGCGAAAGCGCUCUGCUGGACCUUAACUGACACUGAGGGACGAAAGCUAGGGGAGCGAAUGGGAUUAGAUACCCCAGUAGUCCUAGCCGUAAACGAUGGAUACUAGGCGUUGCCCGUAUCGACCCGGGCAGUGUCGUAGCUAACGCGUUAAGUAUCCCGCCUGGGGAGUACGCAGGCAACUGUGAAACUCAAAGGAAUUGACGGGGGCCCGCACAAGCGGUGGAGUAUGUGGUUUAAUUCGAUGCAACGCGAAGAACCUUACCAGGGCUUGACAUGUCCGGAAUCAUGACGAAAGUUAUGAGUGCCUUCGGGAGCCGGAACACAGGUGGUGCAUGGCUGUCGUCAGCUCGUGUCGUGAGAUGUUGGGUUAAGUCCCGCAACGAGCGCAACCCUCGUUCUUAGUUGCCAUCAUUAAGUUGGGAACUCUAAGGAGACUGCCGGUGACAAACCGGAGGAAGGUGGGGAUGACGUCAAGUCAGCAUGCCCCUUACGCCCUGGGCUACACACGUACUACAAUGCUAUGGACAAAGGGCAGCAAGCGGGCAACCGCAAGCAAAUCUCGUAAACCAUGGCUCAGUUCAGAUCGCAGGCUGCAACUCGCCUGCGUGAAGGUGGAAUCGCUAGUAAUUGCAGGUCAGCAUACUGCAGUGAAUUCGUUCCCGGGCCUUGUACACACCGCCCGUCACACCAUGGAAGCUGGUCACGCCCGAAGUCGUUACCCUAACCCCUCGGGGAGGGGGAUGCCGAAGGUAGGACUGGUGACUGGGGUGAAGUCGUAACAAGGUAGCCGUACCGGAAGGUGUGGCUGGAUCA